This 497-nucleotide ribosomal RNA is filed under the name uncultured bacterium. RNAcentral describes it as "partial 16S ribosomal RNA". It matches the Rfam family "Bacterial small subunit ribosomal RNA", at positions 28 to 507 of the family's 1533-position model. The record is from RNAcentral.
GAUGAACGCUGGCGGCGUGCCUAAUACAUGCAAGUCGUGCGAACAGAUGAGGAGCUUGCUCCUCUGACGUUAGCGGCGGACGGGUGAGUAACACGUGGAUAACCUACCUAUAAGACUGGGAUAACUUCGGGAAACCGGAGCUAAUACCGGAUAAUAUAUUGAACCGCAUGGUUCAAUAGUGAAAGACGGUUUUGCUGUCACUUAUAGAUGGAUCCGCGCCGCAUUAGCUAGUUGGUAAGGUAACGGCUUACCAAGGCAACGAUGCGUAGCCGACCUGAGAGGGUGAACGGCCACACUGGAACUGAGACACGGUCCAGACUCCUACGGGAGGCAGCAGUAGGGAAUCUUCCGCAAUGGGCGAAAGCCUGACGGAGCAACGCCGCGUGAGUGAUGAAGGUCUUCGGAUCGUAAAACUCUGUUAUUAGGGAAGAACAAAUGUGUAAGUAACUAUGCACGUCUUGACGGUACCUAAUCAGAAAGCCACGGCUAACUACGUG